AUAACAACAACAAAGAAC
This 18-nucleotide small nuclear RNA is filed under the name Arabidopsis thaliana (thale cress). RNAcentral's name for it is "snRNA_09315". Lineage: Eukaryota; Viridiplantae; Streptophyta; Magnoliopsida; Brassicales; Brassicaceae. The record is from RNAcentral.